This is a long non-coding RNA of Lolium perenne, 1850 nucleotides long. RefSeq lists it as uncharacterized. NCBI's taxonomy places the organism in Eukaryota, Viridiplantae, Streptophyta, Magnoliopsida, Poales, Poaceae. The record is from RefSeq and is a predicted model, not a curated record.
AUGUUUGUUUUGUGAAGAUUAAUUAUUUUGAGAUAUACUCCAAGAUUCAUUCUACACUACAGGAAAGCUGAUUCUGAUUUUGAAUUAAAGAACGCAUUUGAGUCGGCAGGUACUGUAGCCAAGAUAUGACCAGCAACUAUAAUUUCUUAUGCUGCCUUUGCAAAUUUAAGAUGCAAGUAAAACUAAGUUUCAGAGAUAAAUAACAGCUAUAGUUUCUUACAUUGUACUACCAUUGCAACUUUAAGAUGUGAGUGAAACUAACUUUCAGAGGUAAAUAACAUCUAUAUAUUGUCGAUGACGAUUUCAGAUGUGGAUACGAAGGAGAUAGAGAUAUGUUUUUGUUUACACGAACUGAGCACACCCCAACGGUGUCAACGUUUGGAAAGGUAGUGGACUGAUAAGUUGCAGGAUUGGUGUUACCUCUAUACCAUCUUAAGGUAUUCCUUUCAAAGGAGAAUCAUUUGUUAUUCAUUUUUUCAAUCAUUUUAGGAGUAAACGCAUAGGUAAAACAACAGAUUUAGACAAUAUUUUUCGCAGCAACGCGCGGGGAAUCCUCUAGUAUACAUAGCCCGACCGACCAACUAGAACUACUACUACUUGUAGUCGUACACGACCACACCCUAAUGCUCUUUGGAGCUAUAAAUAUAAGCCCGUUUUCUACUAAUGACGAUACCAUUUCAAGACCAUGCAUGUAAAACACCGGUAAUUUGAUGAUUAAAGAACCUUCAAAAAGGCAUGCGGUCAUUAUAGAACCAACAAAUGACAGAUGUCGACGGCAAUAUAGAGGGAAGGACAUGCAAGGACAAACAAGUUGUAGAUAUCUCACGCAAAUGAUAAUUCUAUAUCUCGUUGCAACUAGAUAGGCUAGCUAAUCAUGCUCUAUAAACCUGUCGUUAGAUAUCUUCUAUUCCUAAAUAGUUGGUCCCAAUUUCCCGGCCUCUCGUGAGGCCACAUCACCCCUUUUCCACCAGAUUUGUAAUGCCGAGCGUCGCUCCAGACGGGCUUCUCCUCGCUUCCUCCACCCGAUACUAUACAUGGGCAUUGUUUUGCGCCGGUGAGCCACGCCUGGACCUUCUCGCAGAGAAAAGAAACGCCUGGACUCAUAAUUCCAUUCUAUCCCUCACCAAUUCAGCCUUUAUUCCUCUUCAAGUCUUCAAUCUGCAAGAUCUCCGAGGGAGGCGAGCGGUCCGCGACCCACCACUUGGGCCUUUUCAUCUUCAAUCUGCGUGGUCACUAAAGAAUUAUCUCCUCUUCAAUCUGUGAGGGAGGAGAGUAGUCCACCUUCCCACCACUUCCCCCUUUUCAUCUAUGAUCGAUUGAUCGCGCGGUCUCUUCAUCUGCCCUUUGAGCUGCAAGGUCACAAAGGGAAGCCAGGGGAGAGUACGCCCAGUCGGCAGAUCACAGGGAACCCCAUUCCAAGUUGGUUUGAGUGGCGAGAAUCUACUAGGGCAGAACAACAAAUCAAUUGUUUGUUGAAUCAAUAUUCAGAUUGAAGCUCGAAGGUAACCGUCACCGCCGACCGGCCGGUAAUUUCUUUGCUGGUAGCAACAAUUCCAUUGCACGAUGGUCAAGUGCCCACCACUUUUUUAGACGGAAGGCUCGAAAUGAGCCCGGCUUUGAAUUAACAAAGCCAUCAACCGGCUAGGAGUUACACCAGAAGUUACAACACACGCGCGUCAAGCACACAACGGAACCCAAAACAGAAGACAACACAGAUAACGUCGAGCUGAAGCGUCAGCUUAAACUAUGGAGGGAGCCUUGUCUUCUGCAGCACCGGAGCAGUGACGACCAAGUCCACACCAACAAACCUCCACCGCACCAAGACUGCAACCCAUGAGGAACUCAACGAC